GGUUUGCGAGUCUCUUUCAUCAAUUAACUCCCAAUUUUAUCUAAAAAUUUCGAAGGAAAUGGCGCUGAGGAAGUUCUACAGCGAGAUAAAGGGGUUGAAACUGAAGGAAGUGCCCAACUACGUAAAGCCGAUGCUAUCGAUCGAUUACGUGAAGAAAUCGGUGCAGAAAGGUUUGGACAAUUACCAAGCCAAGUACAUUGAGACCAGCUCCAUUGAUCCUCUCUACCAUAUCUGCUUCGGUGGCAUGAUUUUUU
This 254-nucleotide unclassified non-coding RNA is filed under the name Hevea brasiliensis (rubber tree). The record is from RNAcentral. Lineage: Eukaryota; Viridiplantae; Streptophyta; Magnoliopsida; Malpighiales; Euphorbiaceae.